CUGCCCCUGCCCCAGCCCCAGCCCCAGCCCCCACCUAGCCAUUCCCGCCCUGCCUGUCACGGCCCUGCGCCCUCCCGCGGGAACUCAGUUUAAUAAUUAAUUAAGCUCUCAUUCCACAAGGCGCCAGUUAUUUCCAGCACGGAGCAGCUGCCCAAGUUACCUGGGAGAUGGGAAAAUCGUGUGAAAGCUGGUUAACCCUUUGAGGAUUAGAAUAAUGGUGGAAGCAGAAAGGAGAAGGAGUUUCACUCCAGGAUGUACGUAGGACCAGCCCUCCCUGCAGUCCUGUACUUCAAGGCUCAAGUCUUGUCCACUCCAAAUCACCACUGGGAUUCCUAAGUCCAGGACAGAGCUUCAGGCAAGGAAAAGAGAAGAGUUGGGAAAGCCAGUUUCCAACAUUUAUCAGCCACGUGUACCUGCAAACUAUAUACCUUGGGUAAAUCGUCAAUCUCUUGAAAUGGGAAUAAAACCAUCUGCCUUGUCUUUCUUA
RNAcentral lists this long non-coding RNA (487 nucleotides) under Pan troglodytes (chimpanzee). RNAcentral's name for it is "lincRNA". Lineage: Eukaryota; Metazoa; Chordata; Mammalia; Primates; Hominidae. The record is from RNAcentral.